This 340-nucleotide ribosomal RNA is filed under the name Rastrococcus invadens. RNAcentral's name for it is "partial 28S large subunit ribosomal RNA". Lineage: Eukaryota; Metazoa; Arthropoda; Insecta; Hemiptera; Pseudococcidae. The record is from RNAcentral.
UGGGGUAAACGGACAGAGCCCGUGAAUCCGGGCGUCAGUGUUCAGAAGCGAUGGCGUGUGCGCGCGUUUCGAGCGCGCGUACGCGUCGUCGUUUUGAUAUUUCUGGCGCCGCGACCAAAUUCAACACGGACGUCGCGACCCGUUUGGUGUCGGUCUGAGGAGUCGCGUUUCACGUUCGUUUCGCGUGCGCUCGUUGUCUCGGCAGCGAGCUGCGCGCAUUACGAGURCGCGAUGCACAUCCGGCUGACUGGCCAGACGGUACGCUCGAUGGGUGGCCGGUGUUGCCUCUCACUUUUGUGCGUGUGCGCGCAACAUCGGUGCCGGUCUGCGACGAAUCUUC